RNAcentral lists this ribosomal RNA (440 nucleotides) under uncultured bacterium. RNAcentral describes it as "partial 16S ribosomal RNA". It matches the Rfam family "Bacterial small subunit ribosomal RNA", at positions 338 to 795 of the family's 1533-position model. The record is from RNAcentral.
CCUACGGGCGGCUGCAGUGGGGGAUAUUGCACAAUGCGGGAAACCCUGAUGCAGCGACGCCGCGUGGGUGAAGAAGCGCCUCGGCGCGUAAAGCCCUGUCAGCAGGGAAGAAAAUGACGGUACCUGAAGAAGAAGCCCCGGCUAACUACGUGCCAGCAGCCGCGGUAAUACGUAGGGGGCGAGCGUUCUCCGGAUUUACUGGGUGUAAAGGGGGCGCAGACGGCGAUGCAAGCCAGGAGUCAAAGCCCGGGGCCCAACCCCGGGAAUGCUCUUGGAACUGCGUGGCUAGAGUGCAGGAGGGGCAGGCGGAAUUCCUGGUGUAGCGGUGAAAUGCGUAGAUAUCAGGAGGAACACCGGUGGCGAAGGCGGCCUGCUGGACUGCAACUGACGUUGAGGCCCGAAAGCGUGGGGAGCAAACAGGAUUAGAUACCCGUGUAGUC